Lolium perenne is the source of this 2110-nucleotide non-coding RNA. The record is from RefSeq and is a predicted model, not a curated record. Lineage: Eukaryota; Viridiplantae; Streptophyta; Magnoliopsida; Poales; Poaceae.
CAGCCUUUCCUCGCUGACUCCCAUCCCCUCUGGCCGCCACUGCUCGCCUACAAGGCCCAGACCAGUACGGUGGCUCCCUUCCCACGUGGCCGACCUCCAUGCCUCCGCCGCCGGAACUCAUCUGCUGGCUCCUCAUCUCCGCCGCCGGAAGAAUACUACACAUCUAUAGUGUGGCUCCGCCACUUGUAUAGCACGGAUGGAUUGAACCGCAUGUGAGUGAGAGGAGCCGGCCCAGAUUGGUGUAGAUUCAGCCGCGGUCAAAUGAUGAUGGACUGUCUUCCUCAAGCUUCUGACGCCAUUGUCGCUGGUCCAAUCUUCUAGUUCAGCUUGUGCUUGAAACAUCGCCCGUGCCAGCUGCUGCCAUUCUGAAAGGUCCAUUUUGCGUUGCUACUGUUGAACGCCAUUUUGCUCAUGCAGCCGCACAAAAAGGUUCGCAGUGCUCUGUUACAUUAUUGUAUUGCAGAUUUUGGUACAGCUUUUGAUCACCAUGCCCUGAGAAUGAUUAAAAAAAAACUUAGCUUGCUUGAUGGAACAAAUGAAAAACAUCAUCACUACAGCUGCUAAUCAGAGCCUGUGAAGACUCAAAAGAAAAAAAAAACAAUACUUAGCUGCUUUAUUUACUUAUUGUCUUAUUUUAAACAUAGCUUUUUAAUUUCAUAUGAGAAAACUGGAAAGCUGCACCACAGUUUCCUAUGGUCAUAUAAGUUCUGUGCUCUAUAGUCUGUACACAUCCAGAUGAAGAUAGACACAAAAAAAUAUAAAAGGAUUUGUGCUAUAUUUAGUUUACAACAUCGUAAAAUCACAUACAAAUUAUAUAUACUUGCUUUACUUGUACCUACAUAGGAAACAUCGAACCCUUACCUUGGAGCAGAGAUGUCUUGUGAUGACCUAAUCCUUUCCCGUAUGCCUUCCCUGGAAAGUUGAACAAUGGUUUCCUUUAUGUGUCUAAUUUUCAUAAGAUCCUCAUUGCACUCAUUUGGUUCAGGCUCUUGUAGAAGCUUCUCUAUGAGCUCUUCUGAAGUUUCUAUAAGAUGUAGUUUUUCAAGGGCUCUGAGGUGCUCAAUACCGUGAGGAAGAAACAUUAGUUCAGGACAGUCUACAAACACUAGCUCAACGAGGCUUUCCAAUGCACCUUCUUCUAUUUCAACUUGAUUUAGCUCUGGUGCGGUCCAAACAGAUAGAAACCGGAGUUUUGGAAAUGAUCCUGAAGAGAAAUGCAUGUUUUCCCCUUUGAAAGUAUUGAGAAGCUGAAGGAAGCAUAAACCGCGUAACCCCAACAACCUGGAAAAGGAUUCCUCAUCCAUUUUGGAGAAUGAUAACUGCAACCAAGUGAGGUUAUGAAGCCGGGACAGAGAUGACACAACCUGAGGCAUUGAUGCUUUUUCUAGCUGCCCUUCUAAACCAAGUUUAGAAAGGGUUGGAGAGCAUGCAGUGACGUCAAGCUAUGUAUGCCACUUGGCAGCUUGACUCCACCAAAAGGUUUAAUUUCGGAUCCUCCACCAUCAGUACAUGCAAACAGGUAUCUCAGCUUCUGAAGUUUCACCAUGUUGUUUGGUAAGUACGACAACUUGGUGUUGUAAGCAUCCAAGACUUCUAAGUUCUGCAGUCUUCUUAUUUCUUCAGGCAGACUUUUGAUAUCAGUAUUUCUGAGGCCCAAAUACCGCAGAUUAAACAAGUUAAAUACCUCAACAGGGAGCAUCUCUAUACGAGCGCAUUGUAGAUCCAAUGUUGACAGAAGAUUUGAAGAUAUCAGGAUGGGCCUCAACCAAUCAGUAUUGAUAUACCUAUUAAAAACAUGAAUUGCGCGAAGAUGUGUUAAACCCGAUCGACUCAGUUGGUCAAGGUUUUCACUAUGGAUUGAUAUGCGACGUGGGUGCUCUCCGGAGAAUGUUCUGGAGCCAUCGUACACUCUGCCAAAGCAUUCUUCCCCAGCUUUAUUGAGGGCAAGAAGACGUAUGACAUCAUGCACUCGACAACAUUUCAACCGUCCCAUCAGCAAUCCAGUGCCUCAUUAUUCUCCUCCUCUUUAUUGAGUAAUCUUCUGGGAAUAAUGCACAAUGCAAGAAGCAAUUCUUCAAAUCAUAUGGGAGGUCCUCCAAGCUGACUUUCA